RNAcentral lists this unclassified non-coding RNA (206 nucleotides) under Glomus sp. Its description in RNAcentral is "partial contains 5.8S ribosomal RNA and internal transcribed spacer 2". The stretch from base 1 to 65 matches the Rfam family "5.8S ribosomal RNA", at positions 84 to 154 of the family's 154-position model. The record is from RNAcentral. Lineage: Eukaryota; Fungi; Glomeromycota; Glomeromycetes; Glomerales; Glomeraceae.
GUGAAUCAUCAAAUUUUUGAACGCAAAUUGCACUUUCUUCGGAGAGUAUGACUGUUUGAGGGUCAGCCUAAAAAAAAUCAACAUAGUCGCUGUUUUGCGGUGAGAUUCGUCGGCGAUUGGGUCACCUUAAAAAUUUGGGUUUUAAGCGGCUUAAAAUUUUAUUUACGAUUCUACGUAUGUUACUAAGAUAUAUUUACACGUUUAAG